This 117-nucleotide non-coding RNA is filed under the name Pan troglodytes (chimpanzee). Lineage: Eukaryota; Metazoa; Chordata; Mammalia; Primates; Hominidae. The record is from Rfam by way of RNAcentral.
GCCGGGCAUGGUGGCUCAUGCCUGUAAUCCUAGCACUUUGGGAGGCUGAGGCGGGUGGAUCACUUGAGGUCAGGAGUUUGAGACCAGCCUGGCCAACAUGGUGAGACCCUGUCUCUA